UAGUCAUAUGCUUGUCCUAAAGAUUAAGCCAUGCAUGUGUACGUUCAAGCCCUUGUACGGUGAAACUGCGGAUGGCUCAUUAUAUCAGUGAUAAUUUGGUUGGUGGAGAAUGCUGUGGAUAACCGUGGUAAUUCUAGAGCUAAUACAUGUGGAGCAGACGCAAGUCUGGCAUUUAUUAGAUAAAGCCUUGGCGGGGGGGGUGUAUUCUCUUCCCUGCGCAGGUGAGUAAUGAUAACUGGGCGGAUCGCAAACUAUUUGCGACGCACCAAGGAAAUUUCUGCCCUAUCAACUGUGGAUGGUAGGAUAGGGGCCUACCAUGGUGGCGACGGGUGACGGGGAAUCAGGGUUCGAUUCCGGAGAGGGAGCCUGAGAGAUGGCUACCACUUCCAAGGAAGGCAGCAGGCGCGCAAAUUACCCAAUCCCGAGGCGGGGAGGUAGUGACAGGACAUGACGGGGCGGGGCGCACAGCGCCCUGCGACUGGGUUGAGGAAAAGAUAAAGCGAAUGACGAGAAACGAUU
RNAcentral lists this ribosomal RNA (519 nucleotides) under uncultured eukaryote. RNAcentral describes it as "bacterial SSU rRNA". It matches the Rfam family "Eukaryotic small subunit ribosomal RNA", at positions 21 to 549 of the family's 1831-position model. The record is from RNAcentral.